RNAcentral lists this ribosomal RNA (407 nucleotides) under uncultured Fodinicola sp. Its description in RNAcentral is "bacterial SSU rRNA". It matches the Rfam family "Bacterial small subunit ribosomal RNA", at positions 353 to 772 of the family's 1533-position model. The record is from RNAcentral. Lineage: Bacteria; Bacillati; Actinomycetota; Actinomycetes; Mycobacteriales.
AGUGGGGAAUAUUGCGCAAUGGGCGAAAGCCUGACGCAGCGACGCCGCGUGAGGGACGACGGCCUUCGGGUUGUAAACCUCUUUCAGCAGGGACGAAGCGAAAGUGACGGUACCUGCAGAAGAAGCACCGGCCAACUACGUGCCAGCAGCCGCGGUAAUACGUAGGGUGCAAGCGUUGUCCGGAAUUAUUGGGCGUAAAGAGCUCGUAGGCGGUCUGUCACGUCGGAUGUGAAAACUCGGGGCUCAACCCCGAGCCUGCAUUCGAUACGGGCAGACUUGAGUUCGGCAGGGGAGACUGGAAUUCCUGGUGUAGCGGUGAAAUGCGCAGAUAUCAGGAGGAACACCGGUGGCGAAGGCGGGUCUCUGGGCCGAUACUGACGCUGAGGAGCGAAAGCGUGGGGAGCGAA